GAUGAACGCUGUCUACGUGCUUAACACAUGCAAGUCGAGGGGAACCGUGUUCUUAACUUGCUCAGGUCGAUGGCGACCGGCGCACGGGUGAGUAACACGAAUCCCACCUGCCUUCUACUCUUGGACAGCCUUCUGAAAGGAAGAUUAAGACAAGAUGGCCUCAUGAGUCCCCAUGUUCACAUGAUUAAAGGGAUUCCGGUUGACGAGGGGGAUGAUUUCCCUUAGAUAGAAUGCGGGGUAACGGCCCACCUAGUCUUCCAUGGAUACGGGUUCUGAGAGAAAGGACCCCCACAUUGGAACUGAUACACAGGCCACACUCCUACGGCACGCAGCAGAGGGGAAUAUUGGUCAAUGGGCGAGAGCCUGAACCACCCGAGGAACGUGAACGAUGACUGCCCUAUGGGUUGUCAACUUCUUUUAUAAAAGAAUAAAGUCAGAUAUGGAUACCCGUUUGCUUGUACUUUAUGAAUAACGAUCGGCUAACUCCCUGCCAGCUGCCGCGGUAAUACGGAUGAUCCGAGCGUUAUGCCGGAUUUAUUGGGUUUAAAGGGAGCGUAAGCCGACGCUUAAGUCACUUGUGAAAGUUUCGCGGCUCUACCGUAAAAUUGCACUUGAUACUGGGUGUCUAGAGUACAGUAAAGGCAAGCGGAAUUCGUGGAGUAGCGGAGAAAUGCAUAAAUAUCACGAAGAACUCCGAUUGCCAAGGCAGCCUGCUGGACUGAAACUGACGCUGAUGCUCGACAGAGUGGAUAUCAUACACGAUUAGAUACCCCUGGUAGUCCACACGGUAAACGAUGAAUACUAGCUGUCUUCGAUAUAGUGCAAGCGGCCAAGCGAAAUCGUUAAGUAUUGCACGUGGGCAGUACGCCGGCUACGGUGAAUCUCAAAGGAAUUGACGGGGGCGCGCACAAGGGGAGGAACAUGUGGUUUAAUUGGAUGAUACGCGAGGAUCCUUACCUGGGCUUAAAUUGCAGAUGAAUUGUGGUGAAAUCCGUAAGAGGCAAGACAUCUGUGAAGGUGUUGCAUGGUUGUCGUCAGCUCGGACCGUGAGGUGUCGGCUUAAGUGCCAUAACGAGCGCAACCCUGGUUGUCAGUUAUUAACAGGUUUUGUUGAGGACUCUGACAAGACUGCCAUGGUAAGAUGUGAGGAAGGUGGGGAUGACGUCAAAUCAGCACGGCCCUUACGUCCGGGGCUACACACGUGUUACAAUGGGGGGUACAGAGGGCCGCUAGCACGCGAGUGGAUGCCAAUCCCAAAACCCUUUGUCAGUUCGGAUUGGAGUCUGCAACCCGACUCCGGGAAGCUGGAUUCGCUAGUAAUCGAGCAUCAGCCACGGCGCGGUGAAUACGUUCCCGGGCCUUGUACACCCCGCCCGUCAAGCCAUGGGAGCCGGGGGUACCUGAAUUGCGUACCCGCGAGGAGCGCCCUAGGGUAAAACUGGUGACUGGGGCUAAGUC
Molecule: ribosomal RNA, 1458 nt
Filed under: uncultured organism
Description: 16S ribosomal RNA
Rfam family: Bacterial small subunit ribosomal RNA
Source: RNAcentral